Molecule: long non-coding RNA, 907 nt
Organism: Perca fluviatilis (European perch)
Lineage: Eukaryota; Metazoa; Chordata; Actinopteri; Perciformes; Percidae
Exons: 4
Source: RefSeq, a predicted model, not a curated record
CUCUCCCGUGGCGUCCAGCUCUUUGACGAAGUUGGAGGGAAACAGUCCUGACUUGCCGUUCAAGUCGCCGCUCCACCAGCCCUCUUCAACCUGCAGAGAAGACAUUAUGAGACAUAAACCACCUGACAUGCUGCUGGCGGCUGAGGCAGGAAGCCACCAGUCGGGAUGCCGAUAAAGCUCAUCCUCUGAACCAGGGAAAUCGCUCCCCCUUCCGCCAUCCCAGAGGAUGUUCCAAUUCCUUAAAUGCACCACGAGGAGAGAGGAGGCUUCUGGAGGAGCGAGGAGAGAGGAAACAUUGGUGUAUCCUAUGGGGAAGUCUUUCUAUCAAGUGGCCUGACAUAAACGCUGCACCUCUUGGUUAAAUUGCAGAAAUACAAUUUCACCACAUUGUACUGUACAUGUUUCAUUCCGCCCGAUCGCUUCAGCGACAACACCAAUUAAAGAAAGCAGGAAGCAGACGCACGACUCAGGUGACAGCAACGUUGUCAGGAGCAAAGUUCAACCGGCUUAACUAUCCAAGCCCAGUGGCUGGGCCAGGCUGUUUAGCAGAUUACCGAUCUCACUACGCAGGGUUGGAGGAUGUGGGAAAACAGGAACGAGGUGAGAGAGAAGUGAGGGUCAAAGAAAGAAGGCAAGAGAGAGGAGCAGAAAAUCAAACUGCACUGCAGUAGUGACGCAUUUCACAUUAGCUGUGUAAAUAGCUUACACAGAAAAUGCAGAUGUCCCAGUAGAGCUGCACUCGGGUGUAUCAAGUGUACUAUCAAGUCAUAACAAGAGAUGACUAUGACCCAACUCGACCAAAACCACUGAUAACCGUGUAUCUAAGCCCGAAAAAGCUACCUCUCCUUAUGACCUGUCUCUCUUAGUUACCUGUUAUAGUUACGCUGUUAUAGUUCUAGACUGCCGG